UGUGAGACCUUCCUGAGGGAGAGAGGUCAGACAGGCCUCUGCCAAAAGCACAAUAGGAAACUGGAGCUGUUCUGCAGAGAAGACCAGCAGCUGCUGUGUCUGGUGUGUCGAGACUCAAAGCUGCACAAAGAUCAUCACUUCAGCCCUGCAGAUGAGGCGGCCUCUGAGAGGAAGGAGGAGCUGAAUGUCAAACUGGAUCCCCUGAAAAAGAAACUGGAGGAUUUUGAGGAAGAAAAACUCACCUGUGAUAAAACAGCUGAACACAUUAAGACUCAAGCUGUGAACACAGAGAGGCAGAUCAAGCAGGAGUUUGAGAAGCUUCACCAGUUUCUACGAGAUGAAGAGGCAGCCAGGAUAGCUGCACUGAGGGAGGAAGAGGAGCAGAAGAGUCAGAUGAU
Engraulis encrasicolus (European anchovy) is the source of this 398-nucleotide long non-coding RNA. RefSeq lists it as uncharacterized. The record is from RefSeq and is a predicted model, not a curated record. The transcript has 3 exons. NCBI's taxonomy places the organism in Eukaryota, Metazoa, Chordata, Actinopteri, Clupeiformes, Engraulidae.